This is a long non-coding RNA of Leopardus geoffroyi (Geoffroy's cat), 925 nucleotides long. RefSeq lists it as uncharacterized. The transcript is spliced from 2 exons. The record is from RefSeq and is a predicted model, not a curated record. Lineage: Eukaryota; Metazoa; Chordata; Mammalia; Carnivora; Felidae.
UACAUUUUAUACUCUGUAGAACCCCUUAAUCGUAUUAAUGGUUGGUGGUUGGUGGCCAUUUGUUGAUGAUUUCAUUAAUGUCUCUGUUGCUCACCAGAUUUCAAAUGCCAACAGAGCUAGAAUUUUGUCUUGUCUAUUUUAUUCUCUAUUUUAAGGCCCAGUGCCUAGAAUAGCACAGCCCUGACACUCAAUAAAUACCAUUUGAAUAAAUGGGUGAAUAGAAGAUACAAAUAUUAGAUCAUAUCCUACAAGUUGAAGAUAAAGAGUAAAAGGACAUAUUGGAAAAGAAAGGGCUGGAAAAGAAAGGAGCUUAAAAAGGCAAGAGGACAAGAAAACCUGGAGGGAUGGAGCGUCUGUUUCCUUGGCUUUCUCACUGAACUUCCAUAUUGGAAAGCAAAUCACCUAAGAGAGCCAUCUCUUCCCAGCUCUGCAUAGGCCUGGUGGAACAGCACUGAGGAUGUUUCCUUAGGCUCAAAGCCACCAGAUGGGACAGAAACAGCUGCAGUGGGGGGACUGACCACAAGGAGAAUGGAGCCGUCCUUACCUGAGCCUCACCCAUUUCCAGGCUAAUUCCCCCACCUGAAGAACAUAUGUUCAUUCAACGUUCAUUCAGUAAGCCCCUAUUUGGUGCCAAGAACUAUCCGAAGGCAAUAUGUUAGUGGAAAUUCAAAAGGAGUGGAAGAAAAAUCAUCUAAUCUGAAGAAACUCCAGACAUCUCCAAGAAACUAUGAAAUUGAAAUCAAGGGCUAAGUUGUGGGUGUUGUAUUGCAAGUGUUGGAAGAGGCCAAGAGAAGUAAAAAUACAAGUGAACUGGUGUUGGCAGGAACAAGCUCACUGUGAAUACAGGGUAGCAGGACUAAGCACCCGGUAUGCUAGAAAACAAUUGCUGUGUAUAGCUUUGUUAAAAUAAAUGGUUUUGUUUCCA